Saccoglossus kowalevskii is the source of this 649-nucleotide long non-coding RNA. Lineage: Eukaryota; Metazoa; Hemichordata; Enteropneusta; Harrimaniidae. The record is from RefSeq and is a predicted model, not a curated record.
UGGAAAGUGUGUUAUCAAAUAAACUUUCAGAAUUGUUGGACAGCGAUAUUAAAUAUAGCGUACAGAAAUUAAGGUCAACUGAAAUAUCUCAUCUUUAUAUUGGACCAGAUCAUACUGCAGGCAAUGAAGCAAGCCAGUUCAGCUCAGUUUGAUCAGUUUAAAAAGAGUUCUGAUUCUAAACCACACCCAACUAAAGGUGGCACAGUUUAAUGAAUACCUCACAUAUGGGUGUUUGGUCGAUAUGACGCCCCCGAUGAGUAUGAAUCGGCGAUAAGAAAACACUGGACAUGUUCAUUGUGCAAGAAAAGGUUGAUUGUUAGCGUACUGGAGAAAAUACAACAUGAAAGUCAGUGUACAGGUAUAAAUGCAAAUACAAGUGACACUGAAAUUAUCCAGGAGACGAGUGGACGUCAGAUCAGUAACCUUCAAAAGAUCUACCACUGUGACACGUGCAAGCAAGACUUCCAGUUUACAACCACGGAGAUAUUGAAACAUAAAAGAACACACAAAACAUAACAAUUUGUAUUAACGCUGUACGUUAUGAACAUGCGUACCUUUAACAACUAAUAGAACAGACUGACAGCAUGGCAUUCUUUUUCAUCAAAUGCAUGCCAUGUAUUAGUUUAUUAACUAUUAAUGACGCAAGAUA